GGAAGGAUCAUUGAAUCUAUCAAUACCAACACUGUGAACCAAUUUGUCUGGCCUCCCGCUCACCCGGGGCGCUCUGGCCGCAUUCACUUGCGACCACGAGCGGGCUUGGGAGCUUCGGCUCUUGAGUCGGUCUAAAUCAACAUUAACACCAAACAAAACCAAUCUAAAGUGAAAAUGCAGUCGGCCUGGCCGCUGUAUCUAACCAAAGACAACUCUGUACAACGGAUAUCUUGGCUCUCGUAACGAUGAAGAACGCAGCGAAAUGCGAUACGUAGUGUGAAUUGCAGAAUUCCGUGAACCAUCAAAUCUUUGAACGCAUAUUGCGCUCAAGGCUUCGGCCGAGAGCAUGCCUGCCUCAGCGUCGGGUUAAUAUCACUCCAAACAACCCAUGUGGUUUAGUCCGAGUGGAACUGGCUGUCCAAUGCGCCGCAACUCAUACUUGCGACCAAGCGCGAUGGGUCAGCUGAAGUGCAGAGGUUAACGCAAGGACCCUUAUGGGCCGCAACUGGGUAGGCAGCUCACGCUUGCUAUUUCUAGUUGUUGGCUUGGACCAUGCGUUUGACCCUCAAGCAGGAAUUAACCUUAUUUUCUCGACCUGAGCUCAGACAAGAACACCCGCUGAACUUAAGCAUAUCAAUAAGCGGAGGAAAAGAAAACUAACAAGGAUUAGCCUAGUAACGGCGAGUGAAACGCUAAUAGCCCAACUUGAAAAUCUUCCUUUGAAGAAUUGUAGUCUAGAGAAGCGCCCUCUGCGGCGGCCGGAGCCAAGUUCGCUGGAAGGCGGCGUCAGAGAGGGUGAUAACCCCGUCGGCUCUAGGCUUAGCUGCUCCACGAGGUGCUUUCGAAGAGUCGUAUUGUUUGGGAAUGCAGUACAAAAUGGGAGGUAAAUCCCUUCUAAGGCUAAAUACUGACGAGAGACCGAUAGCGAACAAGUACCGUGAGGGAAAGAUGAAAAGAACUUUGAAAAGAGAGUUAAAAAGUGCUUGAAAUUGUACAGAGGGAAGCGUUUGGAAGGUGUAGGUGCGCUCAGGCUUAUGCGUCUCUAACGAGCCGCUGUAUGUGCUGAGUGCUGGUCAGCAUGGAUUAGCCUGGCGGGAUAACAACGGGGGUUGAUACCCUGUCUAUGCCGCCGGGUUGAUCAAGGUGUGAAUGGCGCUCGGUCCUCUGGAACUGCGCCAUCAAGAUGCUGGCAGAAGCCUUCCAACCGGCCCGUCUUGAAACACGGACCAAGGAGUCUAACAUGUAUGCGAGUUGGUGGGUGGAAAACCCAUGAAGCGCAAGUAACCUGACUGGUUGGACGGCGCAAGCCUGCACCAUCGACCGACCAUGAGCUUAUGCGAAAGGUUUGAGUGCGAGCAUACCUGUUGGGACCCGAAAAGAUGGUGAACUAUGCCUGAGCAGGGUGAAGCCAGAGGAAACUCUGGUGGAGGCUCGUAGAUGUGCUGACGUGCAAAUCGCUUUUCGGACUUGGGUAUAGGGGCGAAAGACUAAUCGAACCAUCUAGUAGCUGGUUCCCUC
RNAcentral lists this unclassified non-coding RNA (1518 nucleotides) under uncultured fungus. RNAcentral's name for it is "sequence contains 18S rRNA gene, ITS1, 5.8S rRNA gene, ITS2, 28S rRNA gene". The stretch from base 592 to 1518 matches the Rfam family "Eukaryotic large subunit ribosomal RNA", at positions 1 to 961 of the family's 3401-position model. The record is from RNAcentral. Lineage: Eukaryota; Fungi.